Long non-coding RNA from Trachemys scripta elegans, 806 nucleotides. RefSeq lists it as uncharacterized. The record is from RefSeq and is a predicted model, not a curated record. The transcript is spliced from 3 exons. Lineage: Eukaryota; Metazoa; Chordata; Testudines; Emydidae.
UAGACUUGUAAAAGAGAAAAUACCUAAAAGUAUCUGAAGUAUAGAAUGUAUAAAAAUAACAUGUGAUAUUACUGGGAUACUAAAAAUCAGUUCAAAUUGUCUGUAACCAGUUAGUAACUGCAAUCAGUAUUAGCACAGAAAUCAGAGAUAAAUUUAUACAAAUUAAAAAAAAACAGUUUUCCUGGAUAAAUUUGAAGAACUUUACCUAGUUGUAUAUUUUCUCCAUUUAAAACUGUUGCUUUUCUGUGCCUAUAACUGAGCCUGUGUAAUAGAAAUAGAGUGCAGGACCCCUUUUCAUUGCAGUUCUUCAUAUAUAUAUUAAAAUUGUAUAGAGAUAGACUAACAUCUAAUUAUUUAGCACCAAAUACCUACUUUAGUCAGCAAAAUACUGACAGAAAACAUUCUUGUAAUAUUUCUCUGUGUUAGGAACACCACCCACUAGCAGAGGCAUGAAAAAUCCAAGCAGAGGAAACCCUCGUAUCCUACAGCUACUGUGAAUACCACCUGCCAAAGCCUUACAAUAGUUUUGUAGAUGCUUUUCUCUGUGUAGGGGCUACAUCCCAUGUACAAUGCAUACCGGUGUUGAAACUCCUACUGAAUGUCUGUUUUCGACAGCGAGCCAUUGGCAGUUGUACCACUUUGGGCGGUGAUUUUGUCACACCUUCCAGAAGGGCACUCAAAUGGACAGCUUCAUGUUAAAACUCAGUUCUAAUUCCUUGACAUCAUGAUCAUCUUCACAGCAAUUAACAUCAUCACAAACAGAGGAUUGUCUCUUCAAGGGAGGAAUAAGCAGCAUAAACUGAGAG